UACGUAGGGUGCGAGCGUUGUCCGGAAUUACUGGGCGUAAAGAGCUCGUAGGCGGUUUGUCGCGUCGUCUGUGAAAUUCUGCAACUCAAUUGUAGGCGUGCAGGCGAUACGGGCAGACUUGAGUACUACAGGGGAGACUGGAAUUCCUGGUGUAGCGGUGAAAUGCGUAGAUAUCAGGAGGAACACCGGUGGCGAAGGCGGGAUCCUGGGCCAGUACUGACGCUGAGGAGCGAAAGCGUGGGGAGCAAACAGG
Molecule: ribosomal RNA, 253 nt
Filed under: uncultured bacterium
Lineage: Bacteria
Description: partial 16S ribosomal RNA
Rfam family: Bacterial small subunit ribosomal RNA
Source: RNAcentral